UGAGUAACCUGCCCUUAACUCUGGGAUAAGCCUGGGAAACUGGGUCUAAUACCGGAUAUGACUCCUCAUCGCAUGGUGGGGGGUGGAAAGCUUUAUUGUGGUUUUGGAUGGACUCGCGGCCUAUCAGCUUGUUGGUGAGGUAAUGGCUCACCAAGGCGACGACGGGUAGCUGGU
Molecule: ribosomal RNA, 174 nt
Filed under: uncultured bacterium
Lineage: Bacteria
Description: partial 16S ribosomal RNA
Rfam family: Bacterial small subunit ribosomal RNA
Source: RNAcentral